CGCGGUUAUGUGGCAACUUGGAAUAUUUUGUUAACAUCCGGUAUUAGAAAACUUAAACAUAAACUAAUAAAACAUGUCAACAGUGUGCGUAUCCGUGACUGUCCCCUCGAAGGUCUCUCUUCGAUCGGGAACACGGCGGGGUUAUGAAUGCCGUAGGUAGGUGUUCAGGAUCACUUUCGGAUCAAGUAUUCACGUCCGUUAGUAUAGAUCACUGUCACUUUUCCCUUUGCGUAAGUUAGCCACUUAUUCAAUCUUAGGGUGCAGCAGCCGGAAACACUUCAUCCCUUCCUUACCCGUUAACAUGACUAGGUCUGGCACCA
RNAcentral lists this long non-coding RNA (320 nucleotides) under Hordeum vulgare. Its description in RNAcentral is "long non-coding RNA (HVUL_LNC006883)". The record is from RNAcentral. Lineage: Eukaryota; Viridiplantae; Streptophyta; Magnoliopsida; Poales; Poaceae.